This 468-nucleotide ribosomal RNA is filed under the name uncultured bacterium. RNAcentral describes it as "partial 16S ribosomal RNA". It matches the Rfam family "Bacterial small subunit ribosomal RNA", at positions 28 to 507 of the family's 1533-position model. The record is from RNAcentral.
GACGAACGCUGGCGGCGUGCUUAACACAUGCAAGUCGAACGGAAAGGCCCUGCUUUUGUGGGGUGCUCGAGUGGCGAACGGGUGAGUAACACGUGAGUAACCUGCCCUUGACUUUGGGAUAACUUCAGGAAACUGGGGCUAAUACCGGAUAUGAGCUCCUGCUGCAUGGUGGGGGUUGGAAAGUUUCGGCGGUUGGGGAUGGACUCGCGGCUUAUCAGCUUGUUGGUGGGGUAGUUGCUUACCAAGGCUUUGACGGGUAGCCGGCCUGAGAGGGUGACCGGCCACAUUGGGACUGAGAUACGGACCAGACUCCUACGGGAGGCAGCAGUGGGGAGUAUUGCACAAUGGGCGGAAGCCUGAUGCAGAAACGCCGCGUGCGGGAUGACGGCCUUCGGGUUGUAAACCGCUUUCGAAUGUGACGAAGCGUGAGUGACGGUAAUGGGUAAAGAAGCACCGGCUAACUACGUG